CUGAGCCGCUUCGUCAUCAUUCUCAUGGGCCUAAUGUUUAACGUCGUUCUCUGCUCCCGAAUAUGAAGGAAUUAGCACUUAAGCUGCUUAAGUAUCUGAUAAUUCAAAUCCACCAUGAAAAUAGAAGGAGUAAGAAAGCAGUACACAAUGGCCUUCUGCUGGCAGUUAAAUCUCACAUCUCAUCUUUCAACCAAGAUUACCUAAACUGCAAAAUUACUGUUGCAAUUGCAGGACCAUUCAGCUCAGUGAUGAAAUAUGAUACUGUUCAUCAAGAGAUAAAACACCACCUUUCAGGGUUUCCUUUAAUUCCUGUUGAAGAAUCUGAAGAAGUUGACAACUUCAUUAAAUAUUGUGGCCAACUCCAAAUCAUCUUUCAGUUUCAGGUAUGUGAGAGGAGUGCAGCAUUGAAAACGGACUGUUUGAUUUUAAGACAGUUUCUGCAUCGUGUCAGUCUAGUACAUCCACAGGUUCAGAUCCAUUUCAUAAGGCAGAUUAAUUCUGAUAUUUCUUUCCAAACAUUUGGUAUGAAACAAGAUAGCAGGAUUAACUGGAGAAAAGUGGAUCUUAUUACAGAUAGUACACAUUUUGUUAAAUCACCUCACCACAGUCUGACUGGACAGUGUGAAGAGAUCCAUCCAGUGAAAGGAAGAGGCUUAUAUCUAUCAAUACCAGAGAAUGUCGUGGAAUCUUGGUUUUGUGAUGACAUCACUAUUUGCGCUUGGGCAGCUGUAUGCCCAUGUCUCAGACAACACCCAUAUAUACCCGCCAGAAUUGGCAAAAUCAGCAUAUCCUUAAUGUGAUUUGAAUUUAUUAUAUUUGAAACAAAUUUCAUAAAAGUAAUAAUUAUGACGUGCAAGCGAUUGAAAGUGGAGAAAUGUAAAGGAAAGUUAAAUGCAGCAUGCCUUACUAAAUCUUAUAUCAUAUCCACAGUGCAGUAUACUUAUAAUUUUCUAAUUACUAGAAACAAAUGAAAUUUAUUCAUAUACUGUGUCUGGAAAUUUCAAGAAAUAUUUUGUAAACUUUGUGAACACUGAUUAAGUGGAAUUAUUUGUAAUUUUAUUUUAAGUUUUAGAUGUACAUUUCUGCUCCUGCAUUCAAUGCGCAUAUUCUGAAUUCCUUGACUUGCAUACAUAUUUGUUUAUGGACCCUCUCAUCUGCCAUUGCUUUUUGAAAAUAAUUGCAAUAAUAUGCAGUUCCUACAAAGAAUGUAUCAUUUGCUAAACUGGGAUCAAUAUGAUCUUCAAGGUGUUACAUAUGUUGGCACUUCAUUAAUAGAAGGCCAAGCCAGGUGUGAUGUUAGCUACAUUGUACCCUCUGACCAGAAAAACAGUGUUGAACAGACUCUUUGCAUUUUUCUGUUUUUUGAAUGCAAAACCACUUUUAAGCCAGAG
This is an RNA transcript of Erpetoichthys calabaricus (reedfish), 1391 nucleotides long. It is a transcript of the gene named DUF4554 domain-containing protein, with no coding region annotated. The transcript is spliced from 9 exons. The record is from RefSeq and is a predicted model, not a curated record. Lineage: Eukaryota; Metazoa; Chordata; Cladistia; Polypteriformes; Polypteridae.